Salvia hispanica is the source of this 619-nucleotide long non-coding RNA. RefSeq lists it as uncharacterized. The record is from RefSeq and is a predicted model, not a curated record. NCBI's taxonomy places the organism in Eukaryota, Viridiplantae, Streptophyta, Magnoliopsida, Lamiales, Lamiaceae.
CUAAAUCGAGCAGCUCCUCCUUCCUCUCUGACCCACCGUCUCUCUCUCGGAUCGCGCCGCCGCCGCCACGGCCAUGCACCGCCUCAACCGCCGCCCAUCUUUCUCCAGAUCCACCCCCGUCCUCACUCUCUCUUCUCUCUUUCUAGAAUCUGUCGCCGUCACUGUGCAUGCACCGGCGGCGGCUUUCCGGCCUUCCCCACGCCUUGCACUGCCUGAGUAGUUUCCCGACGCCACCACGGCCCGCUGCGUCCUCGCCCCGACUCCCAAAAGGUACUAAACUUCUAGACUUGUGAAGACGUUAAGCUUAAAGGGGGUUAUGAGUGUGCGAGGUUACCCUCGUUGUCGUCGGAGUCACUGCCGGAUUUCGGGCAGAAUCAUGCCCACGAGAUGAGACCUCCAUUUUUAUCAAUGACAUCUAACUAGUAUCCCUUAUCUCUUUACUUUAGUGAGUUGGAACAUACUUUAGCAAUAUUUUUGAAUGCUUGCAUUAUUUGGUGUAUUUUUUUAUUUAUUUAUUUUGGUGGAAUCUUGAUACUUCAAGCUAAAAUCAAGGUAUUAAAAUAUGCAUGUAUUUCAAAAAACCAAAAUUUAGAAUGCAUACCGUAAUUGGUGAUCGAGA